Molecule: ribosomal RNA, 796 nt
Filed under: Thyronectria austroamericana
Lineage: Eukaryota; Fungi; Ascomycota; Sordariomycetes; Hypocreales; Nectriaceae
Description: eukaryotic LSU rRNA
Rfam family: Eukaryotic large subunit ribosomal RNA
Source: RNAcentral
CGGCAACAGCUCAAAUUUGAAAUCUGGCCCUCGCGGUCCGAGUUGUAAUUUGUAGAGGAUGCUUUUGGUGCGGUGCCUUCCGAGUUCCCUGGAACGGGACGCCAUAGAGGGUGAGAGCCCCGUCUGGUUGGACGCCAAACCUCUGUAAAGCUCCUUCGACGAGUCGAGUAGUUUGGGAAUGCUGCUCAAAAUGGGAGGUAUAUGUCUUCUAAAGCUAAAUACCGGCCAGAGACCGAUAGCGCACAAGUAGAGUGAUCGAAAGAUGAAAAGCACUUUGAAAAGAGGGUUAAAUAGUACGUGAAAUUGUUGAAAGGGAAGCGUUUGUGACCAGACUUGGGCUCGGUGAAUCAUCCGGCGUUCUCGCCGGUGCACUUCGCCGGUCCAGGCCAGCAUCGGUUCGCUCGCGGGGGAUAAAGGCGUCGGGAAUGUGGCUCCUCGGAGUGUUAUAGCCCUUCGCACAAUACCCUGCGGUGGACCGAGGUUCGCGCAUCUGCAAGGAUGCUGGCGUAAUGGUCAUCAACGACCCGUCUUGAAACACGGACCAAGGAGUCGUCUUCGUAUGCGAGUGUUCGGGUGUCAAACCCCUACGCGUAAUGAAAGUGAACGGAGGUGAGAGCUACGGCGCAUCAUCGACCGAUCCUGAUGUUCUCGGAUGGAUUUGAGUAAGAGCAUACGGGGCCGGACCCGAAAGAAGGUGAACUAUGCCUGUAUAGGGUGAAGCCAGAGGAAACUCUGGUGGAGGCUCGCAGCGGUUCUGACGUGCAAAUCGAUCGUCAAAUAUGGGCAUGGGGGCGAA